GACGAACGCUGGCGGCGUGCCUAAUACAUGCAAGUAGAACGCUGAAGGAGGAGCUUGCUCUUCUGGAUGAGUUGCGAACGGGUGAGUAACGCGUAGGUAACCUGCCUGGUAGCGGGGGAUAACUAUUGGAAACGAUAGCUAAUACCGCAUAAGAGUAGAUGUUGCAUGACAUUUGUUUAAAAGGUGCAAUUGCAUCACUACCAGAUGGACCUGCGUUGUAUUAGCUAGUUGGUGGGGUAACGGCUCACCAAGGCGACGAUACAUAGCCGAACUGAGAGGGUGGUCAGCCACACUGAGACUGAGACACGGCCCAGACUCCUUCAGGUGGCAGCAGUAGGGAAUCUGCGGCAAUGGACGGAAGUCUGACCAAGCAACGCCGCAUCAGUGAAGAAGAUUUUCGGAUCGUAAAGCUCUGUUGUAAGAGAAGAACGAGUUUGAGAGUGGAAAGUACACACUGUGACGGUAUCUUACCAGAAAGGGACGGCUAACUACGUG
RNAcentral lists this ribosomal RNA (495 nucleotides) under uncultured bacterium. Its description in RNAcentral is "partial 16S ribosomal RNA". It matches the Rfam family "Bacterial small subunit ribosomal RNA", at positions 28 to 507 of the family's 1533-position model. The record is from RNAcentral.